AGAUUGAACGCUGGCGGCAUGCCUUACACAUGCAAGUCGAACGGCAGCACGGGGGCAACCCUGGUGGCGAGUGGCGAACGGGUGAGUAAUGCAUCGGAACGUGCCCAGUAGUGGGGGAUAACUAGUCGAAAGAUUAGCUAAUACCGCAUACGACCUACGGGUGAAAGCGGGGGAUUCGCAAGAACCUCGCGCUAUCGGAGCGGCCGAUGUCUGAUUAGCUAGUUGGACGGGUAAAAGCCCACCAAGGCUUCGGAUCAGUAGCUGGUCUGAGAGGACGACCAGCCACACU
RNAcentral lists this ribosomal RNA (289 nucleotides) under uncultured soil bacterium. RNAcentral describes it as "partial 16S ribosomal RNA". It matches the Rfam family "Bacterial small subunit ribosomal RNA", at positions 26 to 314 of the family's 1533-position model. The record is from RNAcentral.